This 402-nucleotide ribosomal RNA is filed under the name uncultured prokaryote. RNAcentral describes it as "bacterial SSU rRNA". It matches the Rfam family "Bacterial small subunit ribosomal RNA", at positions 355 to 774 of the family's 1533-position model. The record is from RNAcentral.
UGGGGAAUAUUGCACAAUGGGGGGAACCCUGAUGCAGCGACGCCGCGUGAGCGAUGAAGUAUUUCGGUAUGUAAAGCUCUAUCAGCAGGGAAGAUAAUGACGGUACCUGACUAAGAAGCUCCGGCUAAAUACGUGCCAGCAGCCGCGGUAAUACGUAUGGAGCAAGCGUUAUCCGGAUUUACUGGGUGUAAAGGGAGCGUAGGCGGUCCUGCAAGUCUGAUGUGAAAGGCCGGGGCUCAACCCCGGGACUGCAUUGGAAACUGUAGGACUAGAGUGUCGGAGGGGUAAGUGGAAUUCCUAGUGUAGCGGUGAAAUGCGUAGAUAUUAGGAGGAACACCAGUGGCGAAGGCGGCUUACUGGACGACUACUGACGCUGAGGCUCGAAAGCGUGGGGAGCAAACA